GCGAACGGGUGAGUAACACGUGAGCAACCUGCCCCUGACUCUGGGAUAAGCGCUGGAAACGGCGUCUAAUACUGGAUAUGUGACGUGACCGCAUGGUCUGCGUCUGGAAAGAAUUUCGGUUGGGGAUGGGCUCGCGGCCUAUCAGCUUGUUGGUGAGGUAAUGGCUCACCAAGGCGUCGACGGGUAGCCGGCCUGAGAGGGUGACCGGCCACACUGGGACUGAGACACGGCCCAGACUCCUACGGGAGGCAGCAGUGGGGAAUAUUGCACAAUGGGCGGAAGCCUGAUGCAGCAACGCCGCGUGAGGGAUGACGGCCUUCGGGUUGUAAACCUCUUUUAGCAGGGAAGAAGCGAAAGUGACGGUACCUGCAGAAAAAGCGCCGGCUAACUACGUGCCAGCAGCCGCGGUAAUACGUAGGGCGCAAGCGUUAUCCGGAAUUAUUGGGCGUAAAGAGCUCGUAGGCGGUUUGUCGCGUCUGCUGUGAAAUCCGGAGGCUCAACCUCCGGCCUGCAGUGGGUACGGGCAGACUAGAGUGCGGUAGGGGAGAUUGGAAUUCCUGGUGUAGCGGUGGAAUGCGCAGAUAUCAGGAGGAACACCGAUGGCGAAGGCAGAUCUCUGG
RNAcentral lists this ribosomal RNA (620 nucleotides) under Microbacterium sp. I12A-00738. Its description in RNAcentral is "bacterial SSU rRNA". It matches the Rfam family "Bacterial small subunit ribosomal RNA", at positions 98 to 732 of the family's 1533-position model. The record is from RNAcentral. Lineage: Bacteria; Bacillati; Actinomycetota; Actinomycetes; Micrococcales; Microbacteriaceae.